Molecule: ribosomal RNA, 407 nt
Filed under: uncultured bacterium
Lineage: Bacteria
Description: partial 16S ribosomal RNA
Rfam family: Bacterial small subunit ribosomal RNA
Source: RNAcentral
AUUGAACGCUGGCGGCAGGCCUAACACAUGCAAGUCGAGCGGAGCGGCGGACGGGUGAGUAAUGCCUAGGAAUCUGCAUGGUAGUGGGGGAUAACGUCCGGAAACGGGCGCUAAUACCGCAUACUAUCAGAUGAGCCUCGGUCGGAUGAGCUAGUUGGUGGGUUAAAGGCCCACCAAGGCGACGAUCCGUAACUGGUAGGAGAGGAUGAUCAGUCAAACUGGAACUGGGAAACGGUCCAGACUCCUAGGGGAGGCAGCAGUGGGGAAUAUUGGACAUGGGGCGAAAGCCUGAUCCAGCCAUGCCGCGUGUGGGAAGAGGGUCUUCGGUUGGUAAAGCACUUUAAGUUGGGAGGCGUUACCAACAGAAUAAGCACCGGCUAACUUCGUGCCAGCCGCCGCGGUAAUAC